CAGAGGGGGCAAGCGUUGUUCGGAAUUACUGGGCGUAAAGGGCGCGUAGGCGGCCUUCUAAGUCGGACGUGAAAUCCCCGGGCUCAACCCGGGAACUGCGUCCGAGACUGGAAGGCUCGAAUCCGGGAGAGGGAUGUGGAAUUCCAGGUGUAGCGGUGAAAUGCGUGGAUAUCUGGAGGAACACCGGUGGCGAAGGCGGCAUCCUGGACCGGUAUUGACGCUGAGGCGCGAAAGCCAGGGGAGCAAACGGGAUUAGAUACCCCGGUAGUCCUGGCCCUAAACGAUGAAUGCUUGGUGUGGCGGGUAUCGAUCCCUGCCGUGCCGAAGCUAACGCAUUAAGCAUUCCGCCUGGGGAGUACGGUCGCAAGGCUG
RNAcentral lists this ribosomal RNA (372 nucleotides) under uncultured organism. RNAcentral's name for it is "bacterial SSU rRNA". It matches the Rfam family "Bacterial small subunit ribosomal RNA", at positions 526 to 896 of the family's 1533-position model. The record is from RNAcentral.